ACUACUCAUAUUUGUUUGAAUUCUCAAUACUAAAGAGACACAGAAAGAGUUGGGUUUUGCCUUUUCGGCCAAUAGUGAAAACUUUUACUUGAAUAAUGGACUCCACCUAUCCUUCCUGGUGGUUUGAGCACUACGUACCUAAUUUUUUUCACGUCAAAUUUUUUUUUUUCCCGACGGGUAGGUUUGAAUGUUUGCUGAAAGAUUGACAGAUAAUCCUACAAAUAAAUCACCCCAAAUCAAAAAACCCCACAUUCUCUUCCAAAUCCAGUUCAGAAUUUCAUCUCCAAUUUCCUUCUCCCUCACCGAAAUCCAUGUCUCUUACACCAUUGAUGUUUAGGACACUGCUGAGGCUGCUAACAUCCUUAAUCGGAGAUCCUGCUGCCUCAGUUUCGACUUUGCUCUAUUACAGCGAGUUGCUUCCGCAGAACAUCAUCCUCCAAAGAUUGGUUCGACACGAACUGCUCGAUGGAGAAAAUUACCUGUUCCAUUUCCUCAUCAACUUUUUGAGAUGUUUUUGGUAGGAACUAACAAAUUAUCAUUCUAUACUCUAAUCUAAGCUAAACUAUGAGGCGGAGAUUCAAACUUGGAUGCAGAUGGACGCACAAUACCAAGCAAGUUGUAUUUUUUUUUUUUUUUUCUUUCUGCAUUUUGGUAAACCAUUAUUUAUUGGUGACCGACUGGCGAGCGUUCGAGUUGUAAUAUGUGAGUUCAGAUCAUAGAAUGAGAUAUGUUUCACAGUUCUUUGA
Long non-coding RNA from Pyrus x bretschneideri (Chinese white pear), 746 nucleotides. RefSeq lists it as uncharacterized. The transcript is spliced from 2 exons. The record is from RefSeq and is a predicted model, not a curated record. NCBI's taxonomy places the organism in Eukaryota, Viridiplantae, Streptophyta, Magnoliopsida, Rosales, Rosaceae.